AAAAGACAGAUGUUUUUGUCAAAGAAGAGAGCAGAGAUAACAGCUUCAGUUCCCUCAUGGAAAGGUAAAGCAGUGAGAAUAUACCUACCUCAUACAUCCCCACUUCAAAAUCUUUGAGAGGAACACAGACGGAGUCGACCUUUAAGAUAAACAUCUGUUUGAACUCUCAUGUCUUGUAGGUCUUCAGUGAAAUUAGAAACGAGCAUUUCUCCAACGUCUUUGGGUUCCUCAGUCAGAAAGCCAGGAAUCUCCAGACUGCGUAUGAUAAGCGUCAGGGGAUGGACAUAAAGCAGAUGAAGACGUUUGUUGCAGAAGAACUAAAAGGGUUAAAACAGGAACAUCGCCUACUUAGCCUACACAUUGGUGCUAGUGAAUCGAUAAUGAAGAAGAAAACGAAGCAGGAUUUUCAGGAGCUGUUGAAGACAGAACACUCUUUACUUGAAGGAUUUGAAAUCCGUGAGAGCAUCUCCUUCAUAGAGGAGCAUAUCAACAGACAGGUCUCCAUGAUAGAAAGUCUGAGGCUGCUUUGUCUUCUGUCUAUCACGGAAAAUGGUCA
Epinephelus moara (kelp grouper) is the source of this 556-nucleotide long non-coding RNA. RefSeq lists it as uncharacterized. The transcript has 5 exons. NCBI's taxonomy places the organism in Eukaryota, Metazoa, Chordata, Actinopteri, Perciformes, Serranidae. The record is from RefSeq and is a predicted model, not a curated record.